RNAcentral lists this ribosomal RNA (440 nucleotides) under uncultured bacterium. RNAcentral's name for it is "partial 16S ribosomal RNA". It matches the Rfam family "Bacterial small subunit ribosomal RNA", at positions 355 to 784 of the family's 1533-position model. The record is from RNAcentral.
UAGGGAAUCUUCCACAAUGGACGCAAGUCUGAUGGAGCAACGCCGCGUGAGUGAAGAAGGCUUUCGGGUCGUAAAACUCUGUUAUUGAAGAAGAACGUGUGUGACAGUAACUGGUCAUGCAGUGACGGUAUUCAAUCAGAAAGUCACGGCUAACUACGUGCCAGCAGCCGCGGUAAUACGUAGGUGGCAAGCGUUGUCCGGAUUUAUUGGGCGUAAAGCGAGUGCAGGCGGUCUUUUAAGUCUGAUGUGAAAGCCUUCGGCUUAACCGAAGAAGGGCAUCGGAAACUGGGAGACUUGAGUGCAGAAGAGGAGAGUGGAACUCCAUGUGUAGCGGUGAAAAUGCGUAGAUAUAUGGAAGAACACCAGUGGCGAAGGCGGCUCUCUGGUCUGUAACUGACGCUGAGGCUCGAAAAGCGUGGGUAGCAAAACAGGAUUAGAUA